UCCAGACUCCUACGGGAGGCAGCAGUGGGGAAUAUUGGACAAUGGGGGGAACCCUGAUCCAGCGACGCCGCGUGAGUGAAGAAGUAUUUCGGUAUGUAAAGCUCUAUCAGCAGGGAAGAAAGAAAUGACGGUACCUGACUAAGAAGCCCCGGCUAACUACGUGCCAGCAGCCGCGGUAAUACGUAGGGGGCAAGCGUUAUCCGGAUUUACUGGGUGUAAAGGGAGCGUAGACGGCGAUGCAAGUCUGAAGUGAAAGCCCGGGGCUCAACCCCGGGACUGCUUUGGAAACUGUAUGGCUGGAGUGCUGGAGAGGCAAGCGGAAUUCCUAGUGUAGCGGUGAAAUGCGUAGAUAUUAGGAAGAACACCAGUGGCGAAGGCGGCUUGCUGGACAGUAACUGACGUUGAGGCUCGAAAGCGUGGGGAGCAAACAGGAUUAGAUACCCCGGUAC
Molecule: ribosomal RNA, 449 nt
Filed under: uncultured bacterium
Lineage: Bacteria
Description: bacterial SSU rRNA
Rfam family: Bacterial small subunit ribosomal RNA
Source: RNAcentral